Long non-coding RNA from Perca fluviatilis (European perch), 1347 nucleotides. RefSeq lists it as uncharacterized. Lineage: Eukaryota; Metazoa; Chordata; Actinopteri; Perciformes; Percidae. The record is from RefSeq and is a predicted model, not a curated record. The transcript has 3 exons.
CGACGCCGGACUAGGCUUGCCGAGGACCAGCCACACCACCAGCCAGAGGGAGAGACCGCCUGGAGGAGAGCAGGGAGAGAAGGAAGUGAGCGGGAGCUGUCCGUGGUGCUGAUAUCCGAAUGACUAGAAGACCUUCUGGGGGAGGACACCAACGCCUGUUCACACAACAGCAGGAACUUGCCGUUGUGGACCUAGUGAAGGCAGACAAUGCCAUCCGCCUCCACCAGCUACGACAGAAAAUACUUGCAGACAGGCAAGUGUUCAACAACAUAAACCAUGUGAGCAUCACCACCAUCAGAUGCAUCUUGGGAAAACACAUCACCAUGAAGCAGCUCUACAGGGUCCCAUUUGAGAGGAACAGUGUCCGGGUCAAAGGACUUUGAGCUGAAGAUGUACGGAGAAUCUUGGCCAUGGAUGGAGCUGCACAGCCCCAUGAAUUCAUUUUCAUCGAUGAAGCUGGAUUCGACCUGAGCAAAACAAGACGAUUGUGCACGUCCCGGGGCAGCGCGAGGGUAAUAUCACGUUGUGUGCCGCCAUAAGCCUUCGAGGGCUUCUGCAUCAUCAUGCAAAACUAGGUCCAUACAAUAGCCAACAUAUACUCACAUUUCUAGAUGCUCUCCAUAAUAUAGUUGUACAGAACAGACCAGAUCAGCCCAGGAUUGUGGUGGUAUGGGAUAACGUCAGUUUCCAUCCGUCUGCUCUGGUCCAGGCUUGGUUCACCAACCACAAUCAAUUUGAAGUGGUAAACUUGCCCCCUUACUCACCAUUUUUAAACCCUAUAGAGGGAUUAUUUUCGGCUUGGAGAUGGCGUGUAUAUGACCGCCAACCACAAGCCCACAUGCCUCUUCUGCAGGCAAUGGAACAGGCCUGCGGCGACAUUCAGGUGACAGCAAUCCAUGGAUGGUUUCGACAUGCAAGGGGAUAUUUUCCCCGGUGUCUAGCGGGAGAAGACAUUGCUUGCGAUGUCGAUGAGGUCCUGUGGCCAGACCCCAACAGACGGCGGGAUCCAUGAGCCCACGUAUGCACAAUUGCCAUGAUUUUCUGUGUUUACAGUAUAGUGUUUUUUUCUAUUUAUAUUUUUUUUUUGUUGCUUUAUCUGAAUUCAUGUUACUGCAAUGUACAGUGCUGCAAUGUACAAUAUUGAGUAGGCCUAUUUGCUUUUUUGGUUGUUUGGAAAUGUGCUUCCUGAAAAUAUGCCUUCUGAAUAAACACUGAAAAUCAAAGAUUGCAGUGUUUUAUAUAAAGUAGACUAGUGUGUUCCCCCUGAUCUGAAAGUGUAUGCAUAUGAUGCAAGUAUGUGUCAUUUUGUCAUCAGAGUUACAUUUUGACAAAGGAAUGUUAGUUUGA